RNAcentral lists this ribosomal RNA (254 nucleotides) under uncultured bacterium. RNAcentral's name for it is "partial 16S ribosomal RNA". It matches the Rfam family "Bacterial small subunit ribosomal RNA", at positions 524 to 776 of the family's 1533-position model. The record is from RNAcentral.
GACGUAGGGUGCGAGCGUUGUCCGGAUUUAUUGGGCGUAAAGAGCUCGUAGGCGGUUCCGUAAGUCGGAUGUGAAAACUCGGGGCUCAACCCCGAGACGCCAUCCGAUACUGCGGUGACUUGAGUCUGGUAGGGGAACACGGAAUUCCUGGUGUAGCGGUGAAAUGCGCAGAUAUCAGGAGGAACACCGAUGGCGAAGGCAGUGUUCUGGGCCAGUACUGACGCUGAGGAGCGAAAGCGUGGGUAGCAAACAGG